RNAcentral lists this transfer RNA (82 nucleotides) under Planctomycetota bacterium. Its description in RNAcentral is "Planctomycetes bacterium (groundwater metagenome) tRNA-Tyr". It matches the Rfam family "tRNA". Rfam says of the family: Transfer RNA (tRNA) molecules are approximately 80 nucleotides in length. Their secondary structure includes four short double-helical elements and three loops (D, anti-codon, and T loops). The record is from RNAcentral. Lineage: Bacteria; Pseudomonadati; Planctomycetota.
GGAGAGGUUCCCGAGCGGCCAAAGGGGUCGGACUGUAAAUCCGAUGGCUCAGCCUACGAAGGUUCGAAUCCUUCCCUCUCCA